RNAcentral lists this ribosomal RNA (497 nucleotides) under uncultured bacterium. RNAcentral describes it as "partial 16S ribosomal RNA". It matches the Rfam family "Bacterial small subunit ribosomal RNA", at positions 28 to 507 of the family's 1533-position model. The record is from RNAcentral.
GAUGAACGCUGGCGGCGUUCCUAAUACAUGCAAGUCGAGCGAACAGACGCGGAGCUUGCUCCUCUGACGUUAGCGGCGGACGGGUGAGUAACACGUGGAUAACCUCCCUAUAAGACUGGGAUAACUUCGUGAAACCGGUGCUAAUACCGGAUAAUAUAUUGAACCGCAUGGUUCAAUAGUGACAGACGGUUUUGCUGUCACUUAUAGAUGGAUCCGCGCGUCAUUAGCUAGUUGGUAAGGUAACUGCUUACCAAGGCGACGAUGCGUAGCCGACCUGAGAGGGUGAUCGGCAACACUGGAACUGAGACACGGUACAGACUCCUAGGAGAGGCAGCAGUAGGGAAUCGUACGCAAUGGGCGAAAGCCUGACGGAGCAACGACGCGUGAGUGAUGAAGGUCUUCGGAUCGUAAAACUCUGUUAUUAGGGAAGAACAAAUGUGUAAGUAACGAUGCACGUCUUGACGGUACCUAAUCAGAAAGACACGGCUAACUACGUG